GCCCAUAAAAGUUAUUGUUAUACAGACUUGGUAGGCCUAAUUGACAUAGAUCAUUCUCUUCUUAAUUUGUCUUUUGUAAUCAGUAAUGGCGAUUACAUUUUUCUCUAACGAACUUUUAACCUGAUAUUGCUUUCAUUCUUUAUGCUAUGGAUAUGAAUUAUAAUAAUAGCCUAUGAUCAGCCGUUAACGUUAGCUAGUCAACGUUAGCUAACUGACGUCCGUUUAAAACUUGCUGGCUUAUAACCCGAUUCUGGUUACCUAAUGUUGGGCCUGCUAACGACGUUUAUUCCAUAAUUAUGAAUAUAUUUUAUUCAGGGGGUGUCCUAGCUCCAGCUGCAAUGGUCGCUGACAUGCAUUGGACGCACCCAGUGAUGGGGAGUGCUGGUGGACAGGAUCUGCGCGUCCUAUCAGAAAGUGAGUCAGACCUUCGGCAGUGAGCCAGUCAAAGAAAUGAGUGAAGCGAUAGUGCCCGUCAUCCUGUCUAUCCUCCGCCAGCCCAGCGUAAAAGAGACGGAGAGCGGAAAAGAACAACGACGAACCAUUGAAUCAACAGAGGACGUGUUGGCUCUCCAAUAAGAAGUUUUGCUGUAUCAGAGAUGUAGAAAUAGAUACAUUGCUUCAGAAAAUUAGAAAUAGAUAAAUUCGAAAUAGAAGUUACAUUGACAUUGACUGACGAGGUCCUUCCAUUUAAUAAAUACUAUUCGUCAUUAAAUGUGUAUUGCCAUUUC
This is a long non-coding RNA of Sardina pilchardus (European sardine), 728 nucleotides long. RefSeq lists it as uncharacterized. NCBI's taxonomy places the organism in Eukaryota, Metazoa, Chordata, Actinopteri, Clupeiformes, Clupeidae. The record is from RefSeq and is a predicted model, not a curated record. The transcript has 3 exons.